AUUGAACGCUGGCGGCAGGCUUAACACAUGCAAGUCGAGCGGGGUGAUGGUGCUUGCACUAUCACUUAGCGGCGGACGGGUGAGUAAUGCUUAGGAAUCUGCCUAUUAGUGGGGGACAACAUCUCGAAAGGGAUGCUAAUACCGCAUACAUCCUACGGGAGAAAGCAGGGGAUCACUUGCGACCUUGCGCUAAUAGAUGAGCCUAAGUCGGAUUAGCUAGUUGGUGGGGUAAAGGCCUACCAAGGCGACGAUCUGUAGCGGGUCUGAGAGGAUGAUCCGCCACACUGGGACUGAGACACGGCCCAGACUCCUACGGGAGGCAGCAGUGGGGAAUAUUGGACAAUGGGGGGAACCCUGAUCCAGCCAUGCCGCGUGUGUGAAGAAGGCCUUAUGGUUGUAAAGCACUUUAAGCGAGGAGGAGGCUCUUUUGGUUAAUACCCAAGAUGAGUGGACGUUACUCGCAGAAUAAGCACCGGCUAACUCUGUGCCAGCCGCCGCGGUAA
Molecule: ribosomal RNA, 503 nt
Filed under: uncultured bacterium
Lineage: Bacteria
Description: partial 16S ribosomal RNA
Rfam family: Bacterial small subunit ribosomal RNA
Source: RNAcentral